This 492-nucleotide ribosomal RNA is filed under the name uncultured bacterium. RNAcentral describes it as "partial 16S ribosomal RNA". It matches the Rfam family "Bacterial small subunit ribosomal RNA", at positions 29 to 507 of the family's 1533-position model. The record is from RNAcentral.
AGUGAACGCUGGCGGUAGGCCUAACACAUGCAAGUCGAACGGCAGCACAGUAAGAGCUUGCUCUUACGGGUGGCGAGUGGCGGACGGGUGAGGAAUACAUCGGACUCUACUUUUUCGUGGGGGUUAACGUAGGGAAACUUACGCUAAUACCGCAUCCGACCUACGGGUGGAAGCAGGGGAUCUUCGGACCUUGCGCGAUUGAAUGAGCCGAUGUCGGAUUAGCUAGUUGGCGGGGUAAAGGCCCACCAAGGCGACGAUCCGUAGCUGGUCUGAGAGGAUGAUCAGCCACACUGGAACUGAGACACGGUCCAGACUCCUACGGUAGGCAGCAGUGGGGAAUAUUGGACAAUGGGCGCAAGCCUGAUCCAGCCAGACCGCGUGGGUGAAGAAGGCCUUCGGGUUGUAAAGCCCUUUUGUUGGGAAAGAAAAGCAGCAGGUUAAUACCCCGCUGUUCUGACGGUACCCAAAGAAUAAGCACCGGCUAACUUCGUG